UACGGAAGGCAGCAGGGGGAAUAUUGCACAAUGGGCGAAAGCCUGAUGCAGCUAUGCCGCGUGUAUGAAGAAGGCCUUAGGGUUGUAAAGUACUUUCAUCGGGGAGGAAAAAACAAAACUAAUAAUUUUAUUUCUUGACGUUACCCGAAAAAGAAGCACCGGCUAACUCCGUGCCAGCAGCCGCGGUAAUACGGAGGGUGCUAGCGUUAAUCAGAAUUACUGGGCGUAAAGAGCACGUAGGUGGUUUUUUUAAAGUCAGAUGUGAAAUCCCUGGGCUUAACCUAGGAACUGCAUUUUGAAACUGAAAUACUAGAGUAUCGUAGAGGGAGGUAGAAUUCUAGGUGUAGCGGUGAAAUGCGUAGAUAUCUGGAGGAAUACCUGUGGCGAAAGCGGCCUCCUAAACGAAUACUGACACUGAGGGUGCGAAAAGCGUGGGGAGCAAACAGGGAUUAGAUACC
RNAcentral lists this ribosomal RNA (458 nucleotides) under uncultured bacterium. RNAcentral describes it as "bacterial SSU rRNA". It matches the Rfam family "Bacterial small subunit ribosomal RNA", at positions 340 to 786 of the family's 1533-position model. The record is from RNAcentral.